GGAGAGAUGCUCGAGUGGUUGAAGAGGCACGCCUGGAAAGCGUGUAUACGCCAAAAGCGUAUCCGGGGUUCGAAUCCCCGUCUCUCCGCAG
RNAcentral lists this transfer RNA (91 nucleotides) under Bacteroides ovatus SD CMC 3f. RNAcentral's name for it is "tRNA-Ser". It matches the Rfam family "tRNA". From Rfam's summary of the family: Transfer RNA (tRNA) molecules are approximately 80 nucleotides in length. Their secondary structure includes four short double-helical elements and three loops (D, anti-codon, and T loops). The record is from RNAcentral. Lineage: Bacteria; Pseudomonadati; Bacteroidota; Bacteroidia; Bacteroidales; Bacteroidaceae.